This 784-nucleotide long non-coding RNA is filed under the name Homo sapiens (human). The record is from RNAcentral. Lineage: Eukaryota; Metazoa; Chordata; Mammalia; Primates; Hominidae.
CUUAUUGGGCUCCUGUCUGCAGGAUUUACGCGCACGUUGGAACCGAAGAGAGCUCUGUUGUUGCAAUGUUCAGCCCACAAGAGCUUACUGGUGAAGGAAUGGGACAAGACCCAUCUUUAUGCAAAGCCAGCGUUACAGUAAUGUUCCAGCAUCUCAUAAUCUAUCCUGGGGAAUUCAGCUGCCUCCCAGGGUGAAUACAGGUAUUCCUGAUGACAGUCUGCCUCUAUCUUACAGUACUACUAACCAAUAACCUGCUUGGCUCAAAGGGCCAGCACCUUCUCUCUAAAGCCCAAGAGGAGUUUGAGGUAAAUGGCUUUGCAAUAGUUACCAUCAAUGGCUGCUAUAUAAAAUUUUCUGUGAUUUUUGUGUGUGAUAGCACUGUGGUCUGGGUGAAUGUACACAGACAUAACUGGCUUAACCCAAAGUCUUUGAUCUCCUGAACCACCAGUGAUGAAUUGCUGCUCACCAGUGAUGAGUUGAAUACCGCCCCAGUCUGAUCAAUGUGUGACUGAAAGGUAUUUUCUGAGCUGUGAGCCUGCCUUCCAGUGACAUGUUCUAAAAAUUGCAAGUUAUUUGAGGAGGCUUUACAGCCAAUAGGAAGUUCUUGGGCUAAGUAGUGUUUCCUAUAAAAUGUGCCCUGAAACUUCUUUCUGCCAAGCAAUAGAUACAAUUGAGAGAUUGUAAAAUGUGACAUAGAAUGAAAGUCUCUCAAGACUACAUUUUUCUUUCUUGAUUUUGCAGGAAAACUAGGUGUCUGUGUUCACUCCAGGCUGAAGUUACAGGU